RNAcentral lists this ribosomal RNA (510 nucleotides) under uncultured Glomus. Its description in RNAcentral is "SSU rRNA". It matches the Rfam family "Eukaryotic small subunit ribosomal RNA", at positions 569 to 1081 of the family's 1831-position model. Lineage: Eukaryota; Fungi; Glomeromycota; Glomeromycetes; Glomerales; Glomeraceae. The record is from RNAcentral.
AGCAGCCGCGGUAAUUCCAGCUCCAAUAGCGUAUAUUAAAGUUGUUGCAGUUAAAAAGCUCGUAGUUGAAUUUCGGGAUCAAUAUGUUGGUCGUGCCUUUGGUACGUACUAGCUUAUUGAUUUCUCCCUUCUGACGAACCAUGAUGUCAUUAAUUUGGUGUCAUGGGGAAUCAGGACUGUUACUUUGAAAAAAUUAGAGUGUUUAAAGCAGGCUCACGCUUGAAUACAUUAGCAUGGAAUAAUGAAAUAGGACGUUUGAUUCUAUUUUGUUGGUUUCUAGGAUCGACGUAAUGAUUAAUAGGGAUAGUUGGGGGCAUUAGUAUUCAAUUGUCAGAGGUGAAAUUCUUGGAUUUAUUGAAGACUAACUACUGCGAAAGCAUUUGCCAAGGAUGUUUUCAUUAAUCAAGAACGAAAGUUAGGGGAUCGAAGACGAUCAGAUACCGUCGUAGUCUUAACCAUAAACUAUGCCGACUAGGGAUCGGAUGAUGUUAAUUUUUAAUGUACUCAUUC